GAUGAACGCUGGCGGCGUGCCUAAUACAUGCAAGUCGAGCGAACAGACGAGGAGCUUGCUCCUCUGACGUUAGCGGCGGACGGGUGAGUAACACGUGGCUAACCUACCUAUAAGACUGGGAUAACUUCGGGAAACCGGAGCUAAUACCGGAUAAUAUAUUGAACCGCAUGGUUCAAUAGUGAAAGACGGUUUUGCUGUCACUUAUAGAUGGAUCCGCGCCGCAUUAGCUAGUUGGUAAGGUAACGGCUUACCAAGGCAACGAUGCGUAGCCGACCUGAGAGGGAGAUCGGCCACACUGGAACUGAGACACGGUCCAGACUCCUACGGGAGGCAGCAGUAGGGAAUCUUCCGCAAUGGGCGAAAGCCUGACGGAGCAACGCCGCGUGAGUGAUGAAGGUCUUCGGAUCGUAAAACUCUGUUAUUAGGGAAGAACAAAUGUGUAAGUAACUAUGCACGUCUUGACGGUACCUAAUCAGAAAGCCACGGCUAACUACGUG
RNAcentral lists this ribosomal RNA (497 nucleotides) under uncultured bacterium. RNAcentral's name for it is "partial 16S ribosomal RNA". It matches the Rfam family "Bacterial small subunit ribosomal RNA", at positions 28 to 507 of the family's 1533-position model. The record is from RNAcentral.